This is a long non-coding RNA of Piliocolobus tephrosceles (Ugandan red Colobus), 2872 nucleotides long. RefSeq lists it as uncharacterized. NCBI's taxonomy places the organism in Eukaryota, Metazoa, Chordata, Mammalia, Primates, Cercopithecidae. The transcript has 4 exons. The record is from RefSeq and is a predicted model, not a curated record.
GAGAUCGUGCGGCUGCACUCCAGCCUGGGCAACAGAGUGAGACUCUGUCUCAAAAAAAAAGUGUGUUCUUUAAAGUAGAAUAUUUGCUUUUUACAAUAUAGUUCUCAGAAUGAUCCAGUUCCAUUUAUUCUAGAAUGCGGUGCAAACUUGACGAGAUUGGAAGAAGCUCUUCUUGUUGGGCAGUGUAGUAACAAGAAAAGAAAAGAAAAAUACCAUGGGUAUAUUAUUUAGGGAACUUUUGCUUUAUCCAAAAGUAGUCAUGAUUGCUGUAGCAUAGGCUAUGAAAAAUGAGAGAGUGCAAAUCUCUCUCAUUUAAAUGUCCAGGGUGGCUUUAGUCUCCCAAGUACAAAGGCCAGAUGGCAGAGAACAGCUUAAACUGAGCCUUUAGCCUCAUUAAUAGGGGGAAGUCUUGGUACUUUUGGCAACUAAGAAACUGGAUUAUUUAAAACCUUAAUUAUCUCCUUUACUCCUGGUUUACAGAAGGCAAUAAAUGUACAACUCCUUUAGAUCCCUCUAACUGCUGCUGAAUUUUCUUUAUUUCUAAGUCUGCAUCCUAUCUCUUGAUUGCAUUGUCUGAAGAAGCUGUGUGAAAUUUGUCUGGUCAUUGGUUUUCUUGUCUGAUAGUGGUAUCUUGAUCUCUUCACAUGUCACACUAAAUGCUGCUUAUAACCCAUCCUCGUCAUCUUUACUCAUCACUGCUUUCUUCAAGGGAGGUCUUGAAACUGCCUUACCUACCUCAUGAUCUGCUAGUCGAAAUAGUGACUCUUUGGAAGAUUGGUAGUCUCUGAAUGAAUUAUCCAAUGUCUGCUUCCCCACAUUAACUGCAUUGCAUAGUUUUGGGAACUUUGCAGGUGCUAAAUCUUCAUGGCCAUGAAGAUGAAACACCUUGAGAAAUGGGAACACCUCUUCACUGUGUACUUGGAUCAGCCUUCUUUCAACUACCAAGAAAUGCAUGAUUUCUCUGCCAACUCCAGGAAGUAGUACAGCACGAUUGAAUCCUUCAGUGAAUCUCUUCAUCAUAACAUAGGGUGUAAAAGCUCGCAUCUACUCAAAAAACUCAAAUCUACUUUUUCAGUAGAUAGGAGCUUACAUUGACUUAUGAAUGAUUUUCUUGUAGGCCCAACUGUGUCACGACCCUCCAGUUGAAACAAAGCAUGAGUUAUUUUUAUAUUGAGUCCUUAAACUGCUAGCCAGGUAGAUGUUUUCUUAAAGUCUAGAGCAGGAUCCAAGUCAGAUGAAGGAGGUGGCACACCUGGCUUAACUGCAGAUCAGGGAGCAUUGAACCUCUACAAUUUGCUGCAUUGGAUUUGUGCUUGGGUUUCUCACUGAAUAGUAAAUUAGAGAAAAUGCUGCUUUUACUAUUUUGCAUUUUAUAUCAACAUUAGCAGCCUGUUCCCACUCGGGUGCUGUCCAAGGCACAUGUUUCCUUGGGAUGUUUGGACAGAACGAUCUGGCUUGAUGUAUUUCUUGGGCUCUGGUACCACAUCAUAGAGUUGGUUAAAUGUAGCCAGCAGCAGUGUCAAGACAGCUGACACUGUCUUCCAAGAGUGAAUGUGUUGGCCUUUGGAACUGCUGCUAACGCCAUGUGUAGGGUGGCGAGCACAUCUUUAGGUGGUGGCAAGGCUGUAUCUGAUUGACACAGAUCUGCAAUCCCUAACACCAUAUUGCUGUUGUCCUGAAUUUUCUAACUUGGAGAAAUUUAAGGAUCUCCUGCAUUAUCUAGGCAGAGCAUAUGUUGAGGUUGUUUUGCCAGUUGUUAUCAGUGUUUAAGAAGUGCUCCUGCAAACAAACUGUGUUAAAAGGAUUAUGACCUCAUAUGCAUCUGAUGUACACUGUGUUUUGGUGUUUGUGUUUUUAGAGUUCUAGCCAGUACUGUGCCUGAACUUGGGAGAGAAAGGAGCCUGUGGCUGAGGUUGAUUUUGAUGGCCGCUGAUCAUGUGCAGAUGAUGGAAGCUCAUUUCCUUCCAUGAACCAGGAGCAUGCUCGCCUCUUCUUUUAAGUUGACCCACACAGUCUCUGAUGUCUUCUUUUUGGGAAAGGGUAAUCAGAUAAGGAUUAUGAGAAGCCUCCCUGACUGGAGACUAGAAAGAGUCUCACAUCUUCUGCUACCACAUGAAUAGACUAAAAAGAAAGAAGAGUCCCAGAUGGGGCCAAGUGGUGACCUGUAGCUAUUUCAGCUCAGAAUGUCAGCCUCUAAAGCAUCAGGUUUGAAUGACUUUGGUGUCAUGGGAUUCUGUCCAUUGUCCGUUUGAGUCUGCUGACAUGCUUCCUCUGGAAAGUGCAGUUUGGCAUGGACGAGUCAGUGGUUUUUUAUUUUGGGGUGUUUUUUAAAAAAUAAAAAUGAAUUACUUUGAGAAUUUUUUAGCAUCUCCUGAUUGUUUCAAAACCAAGGCCGAGAACUGUCGCAGGCAAGAACUUGUGUGCCGAACUCUGAAGGAGCCACCACCCGCAGCACCAGUGGCCACCCACUGUCUCCAUCCAGUGCCUUCUGCCUCAGAGAUUGGGAAUGAAUGGUGCCCAGACUCUUCCUAGCUGAAGAAAUGGGAGGAAGAGUGCCCAGCUGGAGAGAUCAAACACCCGUCCCUUCAGUUCACAGCAGAGCCAGGGUUUAUGACCAGACCCCUCCCUGCUGCGACCAACCCCAUCCCGCCGCCACUGUCGCGUUUACAGCGCCUUUUCAACAGUCCCCAUCCCACUCCCCAAAGCUGCCAAAUUGGUUUAUUUUUACCUACUGGGUUGGAAAAGGGGCAAAGGCUGAGGCUGGGGCAGUUCUGUGGCGCCAGCUGAGGCUUAAAUACAAUGAGAAAGUCCCACCCUGCCAGCUCUGCCUGAAGAGAACCCAGUAGGAAAUAAAUAGCGCUGUGUGCCCUGC